This is a long non-coding RNA of Lolium rigidum, 822 nucleotides long. RefSeq lists it as uncharacterized. Lineage: Eukaryota; Viridiplantae; Streptophyta; Magnoliopsida; Poales; Poaceae. The record is from RefSeq and is a predicted model, not a curated record. The transcript has 5 exons.
GUAGUAAGGGUGCCUCCCGUAUGUUUCUUCGAUAAGCAUUAAAGGAAGGACAUAAGUGUGCUCUUUGACAAUGAGCUGAUCCAUAUGACCACACGUGGCCACGUCUUGCAAACAACGGCCAGCACAAGGGGCUUGAUUCGGUGGGGAGGUAUGGAGGAUGACCUGGUUGUCUGCAUGCGCUAGCUGCUUCUGCUGGCAGUCCAGCCGGAGAUGUUGCCGGGCGACUACACACUCAAGCUUCUGCUGCUUUGAGCCACCUACUCCUACUGUUGUCCACCACUUGGAUUUGCUGUUGCAGGGACAAGCGUGCACAAGUGUAGUGGCUUGGCAAGAUGUUUUAUUUCGUCCAUCUCUACAAUGGGCAUCCAAAGGACAUGGCGUUCAAGAUUAUUUUCAGACUGGUGGUUGAAUCGGAUGCGAGGAUGUAGAUUGCAUGCGGCAAUGAGCAGGCGAUAGAUGAGCCAAGCUUGUUCGGCUGGUGGAGCAGAUUAAUGUGCCCCCCCCCCCCCCCCUGAAGGGGAGCUAGUGCCGGGUCAGAUGGGCAUGCUUAUUUCUGUGUGUUUGAAGUGCUCGUUUCCGGCUUGGCACUAGCUACUGGAUGGCAUGUGCCAUUGAGGUCCUUGUCCUGUGAUCUCCACUUUAUUAAAUCGAUCUUGACCUGGGCAUCUACAUGGGGAGCAUCUUCAAAUGUAUUGUGCAUCUUAUUUUACCUCUGCUAGACCAAAUUGGCUAUGAUGUGCAAUGUUUGUAAUAAAUCGAGUAUCAUCAAACCUGUUUAUAUUGUUUCGUGGAGACAAACUGAUUUGGUUAUACAUAAUGUCA